GCCGGAGGGAAACCGAGUCUUAACCGGGCGUUAAGUUGCAGGGUAUAGACCCGAAACCCGGUGAUCUAGCCAUGGGCAGGUUGAAGGUUGGGUAACACUAACUGGAGGACCGAACCGACUAAUGUUGAAAAAUUAGCGGAUGACCUGUGGCUGGGGGUGAAAGGCCAAUCAAACCGGGAGAUAGCUGGUUCUCCCCGAAAGCUAUUUAGGUAGCGCCUCGUGAAUUCAUCUCCGGGGGUAGAGCACUGUUUCGGCUAGGGGGCCAUCCCGGCUUACCAACCCGAUGCAAACUGCGAAUACCGGAGAAUGUUAUCACGGGAGACACACGGCGGGUGCUAACGUCCGUCGUGAAGAGGGAAACAACCCAGACCGCCAGCUAAGGUCCCAAAGUCAUGGUUAAGUGGGAAACGAUGUGGGAAGGCCCAGACAGCCAGGAUGUUGGCUUAGAAGCAGCCAUCAUUUAAAGAAAGCGUAAUAGCUCACUGGUCGAGUCGGCCUGCGCGGAAGAUGUAACGGGGCUAAACCAUGCACCGAAGCUGCGGCAGCGACACUGUGUGUUGUUGGGUAGGGGAGCGUUCUGUAAGCCUGUGAAGGUGUGUCGUGAGGCAUGCUGGAGGUAUCAGAAGUGCGAAUGCUGACAUAAGUAACGAUAAAGCGGGUGAAAAGCCCGCUCGCCGGAAGACCAAGGGUUCCUGUCCAACGUUAAUCGGGGCAGGGUGAGUCGACCCCUAAGGCGAGGCCGAAAGGCGUAGUCGAUGGGAAACGGGUUAAUAUUCCCGUACUUGGUGUUACUGCGAAGGGGGGACGGAGAAGGCUAUGUUGGCCGGGCGACGGUUGUCCCGGUUUAAGCGUGUAGGUGUGUGUUCCAGGUAAAUCCGGUUCACUUUAACACUGAGGCGUGACGACGAGGCACUACGGUGCUGAAGCAACAAAUGCCCUGCUUCCAGGAAAAGCCUCUAAGCAUCAGGUAACAUCAAAUCGUACCCCAAACCGACACAGGUGGUCAGGUAGAGAAUACCAAGGCGCUUGAGAGAACUCGGGUGAAGGAACUAGGCAAAAUGGUGCCGUAACUUCGGGAGAAGGCACGCUGACACGUAGGUGAAGUGAUUUACUCAUGGAGCUGAAGUCAGUCGAAGAUACCAGCUGGCUGCAACUGUUUAUUAAAAACACAGCACUGUGCAAACACGAAAGUGGACGUAUACGGUGUGACGCCUGCCCGGUGCCGGAAGGUUAAUUGAUGGGGUCAGCGCAAGCGAAGCUCCUGAUCGAAGCCCCGGUAAACGGCGGCCGUAACUAUAACGGUCCUAAGGUAGCGAAAUUCCUUGUCGGGUAAGUUCCGACCUGCACGAAUGGCGUAAUGAUGGCCAGGCUGUCUCCACCCGAGACUCAGUGAAAUUGAACUCGCUGUGAAGAUGCAGUGUACCCGCGGCAAGACGGAAAGACCCCGUGAACCUUUACUAUAGCUUGACACUGAACAUUGAGCCUUGAUGUGUAGGAUAGGUGGGAGGCUUUGAAGUGUGGACGCCAGUCUGCAUGGAGCCGACCUUGAAAUACCACCCUUUAAUGUUUGAUGUUCUAACGUGGACCCGUUACCCGGGUUGCGGACAGUGUCUGGUGGGUAGUUUGACUGGGGCGGUCUCCUCCUAAAGAGUAACGGAGGAGCACGAAGGUUGGCUAAUCCUGGUCGGACAUCAGGAGGUUAGUGCAAUGGCAUAAGCCAGCUUGACUGCGAGCGUGACGGCGCGAGCAGGUGCGAAAGCAGGUCAUAGUGAUCCGGUGGUUCUGAAUGGAAGGGCCAUCGCUCAACGGAUAAAAGGUACUCCGGGGAUAACAGGCUGAUACCGCCCAAGAGUUCAUAUCGACGGCGGUGUUUGGCACCUCGAUGUCGGCUCAUCACAUCCUGGGGCUGAAGUAGGUCCCAAGGGUAUGGCUGUUCGCCAUUUAAAGUGGUACGCGAGCUGGGUUUAGAACGUCGUGAGACAGUUCGGUCCCUAUCUGCCGUGGGCGCUGGAGAACUGAGGGGGGCUGCUCCUAGUACGAGAGGACCGGAGUGGACGCAUCACUGGUGUUCGGGUUGUCAUGCCAAUGGCACUGCCCGGUAGCUAAAUGCGGAAGAGAUAAGUGCUGAAAGCAUCUAAGCACGAAACUUGCCCCGA
Molecule: ribosomal RNA, 2156 nt
Filed under: Salmonella enterica subsp. enterica serovar Enteritidis
Lineage: Bacteria; Pseudomonadati; Pseudomonadota; Gammaproteobacteria; Enterobacterales; Enterobacteriaceae
Description: partial 23S ribosomal RNA
Rfam family: Bacterial large subunit ribosomal RNA
Source: RNAcentral